AAGUGACGCGGUAGAGGAGCGUUCUGUAAGCCUGUGAAGGUGAGUUGAGAAGCUUGCUGGAGGUAUCAGAAGUGCGAAUGCUGACAUGAGUAACGACAAUGGGUGUGAAAAACACCCACGCCGAAAGACCAAGGGUUCCUGCGCAACGUUAAUCGACGCAGGGUUAGUCGGUUCCUAAGGCGAGGCUGAAAAGCGUAGUCGAUGGGAAACAGGUUAAUAUUCCUGUACUUCUGGUUACUGCGAUGGAGGGACGGAGAAGGCUAGGCCAGCUUGGCGUUGGUUGUCCAAGUUUAAGGUGGUAGGCUGAAAUCUUAGGUAAAUCCGGGGUUUCAAGGCCGAGAGCUGAUGACGAGUCGUCUUUUAGAUGACGAAGUGGUUGAUGCCAUGCUUCCAAGAAAAGCUUCUAAGCUUCAGGUAACCAGGAACCGUACCCCAAACCGACACAGGUGGUCGGGUAGAGAAUACCAAGGCGCUUGAGAGAACUCGGGUGAAGGAACUAGGCAAAAUGGCACCGUAACUUCGGGAGAAGGUGCGCCGGCUAGGGUGAAGGAUUUACUCCGUAAGCUCUGGCUGGUCGAAGAUACCAGGCCGCUGCGACUGUUUAUUAAAAACACAGCACUCUGCAAACACGAAAGUGGACGUAUAGGGUGUGACGCCUGCCCGGUGCCGGAAGGUUAAUUGAUGGGGUUAGCGCAAGCGAAGCUCUUGAUCGAAGCCCCGGUAAACGGCGGCCGUAACUAUAACGGUCCUAAGGUAGCGAAAUUCCUUGUCGGGUAAGUUCCGACCUGCACGAAUGGCGUAACGAUGGCGGCGCUGUCUCCACCCGAGACUCAGUGAAAUUGAAAUCGCUGUGAAGAUGCAGUGUAUCCGCGGCUAGACGGAAAGACCCCGUGAACCUUUACUGUAGCUUUGCACUGGACUUUGAGCCUGCUUGUGUAGGAUAGGUGGGAGGCUUUGAAGCGUGGACGCCAGUUCGCGUGGAGCCAUCCUUGAAAUACCACCCUGGCAUGCUUGAGGUUCUAACUCUGGUCCGUAAUCCGGAUCGAGGACAGUGUAUGGUGGGCAGUUUGACUGGGGCGGUCUCCUCCUAAAGAGUAACGGAGGAGUACGAAGGUGCGCUCAGACCGGUCGGAAAUCGGUCGCAGAGUAUAAAGGCAAAAGCGCGCUUGACUGCGAGACAGACACGUCGAGCAGGUACGAAAGUAGGUCUUAGUGAUCCGGUGGUUCUGUAUGGAAGGGCCAUCGCUCAACGGAUAAAAGGUACUCCGGGGAUAACAGGCUGAUACCGCCCAAGAGUUCAUAUCGACGGCGGUGUUUGGCACCUCGAUGUCGGCUCAUCACAUCCUGGGGCUGAAGCCGGUCCCAAGGGUAUGGCUGUUCGCCAUUUAAAGUGGUACGCGAGCUGGGUUUAGAACGUCGUGAGACAGUUCGGUCCCUAUCUGCCGUGGACGUUUGAGAUUUGAGAGGGGCUGCUCCUAGUACGAGAGGACCGGAGUGGACGAACCUCUGGUGUUCCGGUUGUCACGCCAGUGGCAUUGCCGGGUAGCUAUGUUCGGAAAAGAUAACCGCUGAAAGCAUCUAAGCGGGAAACUUGCCUCAAGAUGAGAUCUCACUGGGAACUUGAUUCCCCUGAAGGGCCGUCGAAGACUACGACGUUGAUAGGCUGGGUGUGUAAGCGUUGUGAGGCGUUGAGCUAACCAGUACUAAUUGCCCGUGAGGCUUGACCAUAUAACACCCAAACA
RNAcentral lists this ribosomal RNA (1742 nucleotides) under Pseudomonas aeruginosa. RNAcentral's name for it is "partial 23S ribosomal RNA". It matches the Rfam family "Bacterial large subunit ribosomal RNA", at positions 1218 to 2925 of the family's 2925-position model. Lineage: Bacteria; Pseudomonadati; Pseudomonadota; Gammaproteobacteria; Pseudomonadales; Pseudomonadaceae. The record is from RNAcentral.